GGGGGGAGGCCUAUAAUGCAGUCGAACGAGAUUCAGGAGCUUGCUUUUCAUGAAAGUGGCGCACGGGUGCGUAACACGUAUGCAACCUACCUUCAAUUGGGGGAUAGCCUUCCGAAAGGGAGAUUAAUACCGCAUAAGAUAUUAGAAUGGCAUCAUUCAGAUAUUAAAACUUUGGUGAUUGAAGAUGGGCAUGCGUUGCAUUAGCUAGUUGGUAAGGUAACGGCUUACCAAGGCUACGAUGCAUAGGGGAUCUGAGAGGAUGGUCCCCCACACUGGUACUGAGAUACGGACCAGACUCCUACGGGAGGCAGCAGUAAGGAAUAUUGGUCAAUGGAGGGAACUCUGAACCAGCCAUGCCGCGUGCAGGACGACGGCCCUAUGGGUUGUAAACUGCUUUUGUCAGGGAAUAAAUCAUUUUACGUGUAGAAUGUUGAAGGUACCUGAAGAAUAAGGAUCGGCUAACUCCGUGCCAGCAGCCGCGGUAAUACGGAGGAUCCAAGCGUUAUCCGGAUUUAUUGGGUUUAAAGGGUGCGUAGGCGGUAAAUUAAGUCAGAGGUGAAAGCCUGCAGCUCAACUGUAGAACUGCCUUUGAUACUGGUUUACUUGAGUACAGAUGAAGUGGGCGGAAUGUGACAAGUAGCGGUGAAAUGCAUAGAUAUGUCACAGAACACCGAUUGCGAAGGCAGCUCACUAAAGUGUAACUGACGCUGAGGCACGAAAGCGUGGGGAUCAAACAGGAUUAGAUACCCUGGUAGUCCACGCCCUAAACGAUGAUUACUCGCUGCCGGCGAUAUACAGUCGGCGGCUAAGCGAAAGCGUUAAGUAAUCCACCUGGGGAGUACGGUCGCAAGAUUGAAACUCAAAGGAAUUGACGGGGGCCCGCACAAGCGGAGGAGCAUGUGUUUAAUUCGAUGAUACGCGAGGAACCUUACCCGGGCUUGAAAGUUAGUGAUGAUUUAGAAAUAGAUCAGUGAGCAAUCACACGAAACUAGUGCUGCAUGGCUGUCGUCAGCUCGUGCCGUGAGGUGUUGGGUUAAGUCCCGCAACGAGCGCACCCCUAUGAUUAGUUGCCAGCAU
This 1077-nucleotide ribosomal RNA is filed under the name bacterium. RNAcentral describes it as "bacterial SSU rRNA". It matches the Rfam family "Bacterial small subunit ribosomal RNA", at positions 38 to 1124 of the family's 1533-position model. The record is from RNAcentral.